This 927-nucleotide long non-coding RNA is filed under the name Urocitellus parryii (Arctic ground squirrel). Its description in RNAcentral is "lncRNA (ENSUPAG00010023960.1)". Lineage: Eukaryota; Metazoa; Chordata; Mammalia; Rodentia; Sciuridae. The record is from RNAcentral.
CCCUCCUCUGCCACCUCCUUUGGAAUCCUAGUUCCAGAUGUGACUCUCUCUGUUUCCUUUGGCUGGAAGUUUGCUGUUUUCCCAUAACCCAGUCGGGUUGCCUGUUAGAGAAACCAAAAAACUCCAACUUUCUGGGAAGACAUCUAAUUAAAUUCCCAAAGAGGGGAGAGGAAAGCCCCCCUCUGAAACAGACAGAUCCGACCUCAUCAUACAGAAUCAUCACAGAAGAGAAAGUGCUGGGGAUAAGCCUGCAGAGCCGGGGCUGGGACGGCAUGGACAAGUGUACCCAUUUCCUUCUUCUGGCCAGGUAUGAGGGAGCUUUGGACCAUCCAUCAGUUGUCAGGGACAUUGGGACGAAACCCUCUAAAGGUAAGGGAGACAGAUACAAUUUUUCAACCAGUUUGAUGGGUAGACUCAGCUGGCAGUGCCGCUCCCUCUCCUGAGACCAACAACAAGGAAUGCCUCCAGGGGAAGAGCACGUCUCGUCUCUGAGGAAUGAGGACUGUGUGGGCAGUGCCGAGCAGACUGGGAAGUAGGUGCCUGCAUGGACCCCAAAUAAGCGGGACAGCUUAGUGCUCAGAUAGAAAGUCCCCAAGAACAGGUGACCAGGAAAACUCCUGCUAUUAACAGUGGUCCCAGAGGGAGGACUGGGAGGGACCACUUAGCCAGGGAAGCUGCUCUGAUAUCAGAAAUAAGAUGGAACCAUGGCGUUCGCCCACUCUCUGCCUUUGGCUGGGAUGACACCGACACUUUGAGAUGGCCUGAGAAGAUGAAUAUUUCAUAGACAAACCUGUUCCCAGGCCAGAGUUCACUGAGUGUAGUCAAGGCCAACAAGCAGAUUUUGCACCUAAGCCAAGUCAAAUUGAUUCAUGGUGACUGCAGAAGCACCGAGUUCAACGGGAAUUUGAGCCUGGAUCUGAGGCAGAA